This 1104-nucleotide long non-coding RNA is filed under the name Homo sapiens (human). RNAcentral's name for it is "HSALNT0082042". Lineage: Eukaryota; Metazoa; Chordata; Mammalia; Primates; Hominidae. The record is from RNAcentral.
GCCGCUCCCCAAGCUGCUCUCCCGGAGGCCUCGGGGCGCCCCUCCGCCAUCUGCAGCUCCCUGCAGACUUGCAUGCUCAGACGGGAGCUGUCCACCGCCUGCAACAGGAAAAGGGCUUGCUUGCGUGUGGUAACCACCUUCUUCAACGUUUGGUGUGGAGAUUACUGAUGAAGAGCUUGACUUACUACUUGACAGAAUCCCCUUGAUGAAGAUGGAAAUGUCAGAGACCCCCGAUUCAUGCCACGUUGGAUUCUUAGCACUUCUUUUCCACAUUUUCUCAUUUCUUCGUACAUUUUUUAUUCUUGCUUUUAGUACAGAGAAUGUACCCCUCAAAGUGCUAGGAUUAUUUAAAUUUUCUCUUUAUUGGCUGGUAUCUCACUUAUUAAUAUUUUAUAAGUGACAAAGGAUUUUUGAAAAAACAUUGUUAACAAAAAGGUAGCUGUCCCACCAAGAAUACCACGUCCAAGAGCAGGAUUCUCCUUCCAAAGUGUGUGUGUGGACUUGAGAAGCAGCCUUUGGAAGACGGGGCUGCCCAGACUUUAUAGAGCCUACUUCAAUUUCUCGGAGGUCUGCAAUCUCAGGUUGUCAGUCAUCCAGGACCUUGGCUGUUGGUGAGACAGAGUGCUUCCUUUUGGGUGAAGAACUCUGUAUUACUUUCCUAGGGCUGCCAUCAUGAAGCACCACAAACUGGGUGGCUUAAAAUGACAGGAAUGUAUUCUCUCAGAGUUCCAGAGGCUGGAAGUUCAAGAUCAAGGUGUGAGCUGGGGCACGCUCCCUCUGAGCUCCGAAGAAUCCUUCCCUCCCCUUUCCUUGCUUCUCAGGGUGACUGGUAAUCCCUGUGAGCCUUGUUCUGCGGCUGUUCCACUCUCAUCUUUGCCUCUGCUGUCAUAUGGCACACUGCGUGUCUCUGUCUCUGUGUCCAAAUUUCCUUGCUCUCAUAAAGACACCAGUCUUCUCCGAUUGAGGGCUCAACUUACUGCAGUAUGACUUGUCUUAACUAGUAACAUCUCCAACUACCCUAUUUUCAAAUGAAGGCAUAUUCUGAGGUGCAGGGGAUAAGGAUUGUGACAUGUCAUUUGGGGACACAAUUUAACACAUGACAAA